UUCUCUCUCACUGCUCUCUCUUCCAAACCUCCAUAGCCAUUGCCCUGCCACUCUUCCAUUUCCCAUUCUCCAAAAUAGCAAAUCUCAUCUCUCUCUGUUUCUCUCGUACCACCAUACCACACCAGCACCUCCAUCUUCCCUCUCUCAACUCCAAACCUUGACAACUGUUGCUUAGCGUUGCCGAUCAUCACCAGUUUCGACGAGACUGACCUUUGUCUCGUUGAAAAACGCCUAAAAUUGUCUCUCCGUUGUCUCCAACCACAAAGUUUUCUUCACUGCUUUCAACUUCUGACUUUGCAAGAAGUAAUAAAGAAAGGGACAAAUAAGAUUGGGCUGCCUAGAAUAACAUUGAUGGUUCCUUCCAGGUGGUGGUCUAGUUGUUUGUGAGCAGUACUGGAAUUUCAUUAGUUUGAUAAGCUCAUCAAUCUUUGGUUUGGGAAGCUUCAAGGGUAAUGCAUAGCAGCAUUGUUCGGGAUACUCAUCAAACUUUGGCUUUAUUCUCCAUGACAUGAGGCCAUUGCAGUGAACAGACUUUGGACUUUUUGAAGAAACUUGGUCUAUGAGAUUUGAAUCUCAACCAACUUUAGUAGUUCCAACUUUGUUUAUCUAAAGAAGAGGCAAUCUUUUUGUUGUGUUGAGUUUCAAACUUGUACCAAAGAAAUGUAAGACAAGUGUGAUGUAUAAUACAAAUACUUAUAUUUUACAAAAGAUAUAAAGUUGGGAUAGUUUAAAAAUAUAG
Quercus lobata is the source of this 739-nucleotide long non-coding RNA. RefSeq lists it as uncharacterized. The record is from RefSeq and is a predicted model, not a curated record. Lineage: Eukaryota; Viridiplantae; Streptophyta; Magnoliopsida; Fagales; Fagaceae. The transcript has 3 exons.